CAACGAUGCAACGUGCUAUGAAAACGGUGUGCUGAUUCAAUAGAUUCAGCAGAUGGAACCAUGGGAUGGAGGUUAUCAGCCAUUCCAUUCCCCUCUGGACUGUAAUUCGUUGUCGACAAUGUGCUAUGGACCCUAAAGGCCUGCCAUCUGCUUGCUUUCGCUCCUUCCAAAGAAUUGAAAAGUGCUUCUAGAAGACAACCCUCGAAUCUACUGGCUUAAAGUCUUUGAGUUCUCCAUUCUGCUCAUCACCUGGACAAGGUUGCACAAGGACAGACGUGUUCAAGAAAUUUCCAGACUUGAAAUUG
This is a non-coding RNA of Poecilia reticulata (guppy), 305 nucleotides long. The record is from RefSeq and is a predicted model, not a curated record. Lineage: Eukaryota; Metazoa; Chordata; Actinopteri; Cyprinodontiformes; Poeciliidae.